This 253-nucleotide ribosomal RNA is filed under the name uncultured bacterium. RNAcentral describes it as "partial 16S ribosomal RNA". It matches the Rfam family "Bacterial small subunit ribosomal RNA", at positions 524 to 776 of the family's 1533-position model. The record is from RNAcentral.
UACGUAGGGUCCGAGCGUUGUCCGGAAUUACUGGGCGUAAAGAGCUCGUAGGCGGUUUGUCGCGUUGUUCGUGAAAACCUGAGGCUUAACCUUGGGCGUGCGGGCGAUACGGGCAGACUGGAGUACUGCAGGGGAGACUGGAAUUCCUGGUGUAGCGGUGGAAUGCGCAGAUAUCAGGAGGAACACCGGUGGCGAAGGCGGGUCUCUGGGCAGUAACUGACGCUGAGGAGCGAAAGCGUGGGUAGCAAACAGG